AGAGUUUGAUCCUGGCUCAGGAUGAACGCUGGCGGCGUGCUUAACACAUGCAAGUCGAACGAACCUUCGGGUUAGUGGCGGACGGGUGAGUAACGCGUGAGAAUCUGCCCUCAGGAGGGGGAUAACGGCUGGAAACGGCCGCUAAUACCCCAUAUGCCGAGAGGUGAAAUGAAUUUCGCCUGAGGAUGAGCUCGCGUCUGAUUAGCUAGUUGGUGGGGUAAGAGCCUACCAAGGCUUCGAUCAGUAGCUGGUCUGAGAGGAUGACCAGCCACACUGGGACUGAGACACGGCCCAGACUCCUACGGGAGGCAGCAGUGGGGAAUUUUCCGCAAUGGGCGAAAGCCUGACGGAGCAACGCCGCGUGAGGGAUGAAGGCCUCUGGGCUGUAAACCUCUUUUCUCAAGGAAGAAGAUCUGACGGUACUUGAGGAAUAAGCCACGGCUAAUUCCGUGCCAGCAGCCGCGGUAAUACGGGAGUGGCAAGCGUUAUCCGGAAUUAUUGGGCGUAAAGCGUCCGCAGGCGGCCUUGAAAGUCUGCUGUUAAAGCGUGGAGCUUAACUCCAUUUCAGCAGUGGAAACUACAAGGCUAGAGUGUGGUAGGGGCAGAGGGAAUUCCCGGUGUAGCGGUGAAAUGCGUAGAUAUCGGGAAGAACACCAGUGGCGAAGGCGCUCUGCUGGGCCAUAACUGACGCUCAUGGACGAAAGCCAGGGGAGCGAAAGGGAUUAGAUACCCCUGUAGUCCUGGCCGUAAACGAUGAACACUAGGUGUCGGGGGAAUCGACCCCUCCGGUGUCGUAGCCAACGCGUUAAGUGUUCCGCCUGGGGAGUACGCACGCAAGUGUGAAACUCAAAGGAAUUGACGGGGGCCCGCACAAGCGGUGGGGUAUGUGGUUUAAUUCGAUGCAACGCGAAGAACCUUACCAGGGUUUGACAUCCUGCGAAUCCCUUGGAAACGAGGGAGUGCCUUCGGGAGCGCAGUGACAGGUGGUGCAUGGCUGUCGUCAGCUCGUGUCGUGAGAUGUUGGGUUAAGUCCCGCAACGAGCGCAACCCACGUCUUUAGUUGCCAGCAUUGAGUUGGGCACUCUAGAGAGACCGCCGGUGAUAAACCGGAGGAAGGUGUGGAUGACGUCAAGUCAUCAUGCCCCUUACAUCCUGGGCUACACACGUACUACAAUGCUACGGACAAAGGGCAGCAAACUCGCGAGGGCUAGCAAAUCCCAUAAACCGUGGCUCAGUUCAGAUCGUAGGCUGCAACUCGCCUACGUGAAGGAGGAAUCGCUAGUAAUCGCAGGUCAGCAUACUGCGGUGAAUACGUUCCCGGGCCUUGUACACACCGCCCGUCACACCAUGGAAGUUGGCCACGCCCGAAGUCGUUACUCCAACCCGCAAGGGAGGAGGAUGCCGAAGGUGGGGCUGAUGACUGGGGUGAAGUCGUAACAAGGUA
RNAcentral lists this ribosomal RNA (1444 nucleotides) under metagenome. RNAcentral's name for it is "bacterial SSU rRNA". It matches the Rfam family "Bacterial small subunit ribosomal RNA". The record is from RNAcentral.